GGUGGCUUAGUGGUAGAGUGCUUGCCUUAUAUGCACGAAGCCCUGGGUUCGAUUCCUCGUACCA
RNAcentral lists this transfer RNA (64 nucleotides) under Dipodomys ordii (Ord's kangaroo rat). It matches the Rfam family "tRNA". From Rfam's summary of the family: Transfer RNA (tRNA) molecules are approximately 80 nucleotides in length. Their secondary structure includes four short double-helical elements and three loops (D, anti-codon, and T loops). The record is from Rfam by way of RNAcentral. Lineage: Eukaryota; Metazoa; Chordata; Mammalia; Rodentia; Heteromyidae.